RNAcentral lists this ribosomal RNA (353 nucleotides) under Shigella flexneri. Its description in RNAcentral is "bacterial LSU rRNA". It matches the Rfam family "Bacterial large subunit ribosomal RNA", at positions 1308 to 1663 of the family's 2925-position model. The record is from RNAcentral. Lineage: Bacteria; Pseudomonadati; Pseudomonadota; Gammaproteobacteria; Enterobacterales; Enterobacteriaceae.
AACGAUAAAGCGGGUGAAAAGCCCGCUCGCCGGAAGACCAAGGGUUCCUGUCCAACGUUAAUCGGGGCAGGGUGAGUCGACCCCUAAGGCGAGGCCGAAAGGCGUAGUCGAUGGGAAACAGGUUAAUAUUCCUGUACUUGGUGUUACUGCGAAGGGGGGACGGAGAAGGCUAUGUUAGCCGGGCGACGGUUGUCCCGGUUUAAGCGUGUAGGCUGGUUUUCCAGGCAAAUCCGGAAAAUCAAGGCCGAGGCGUGAUGACGAGGCACUACGGUGCUGAAGCAACAAAUGCCCUGCUUCCAGGAAAAGCCUCUAAGCAUCAGGUAACAUCAAAUCGUACCCCAAACCGACACAGG